AACGCGAAGAACCUUACCCAGGCUUGACAUGCAGAUGACGACAUUAGAGAUAGUGUUUCCCUUCGGGGCAUCUGCACAGGUGCUGCAUGGCUGUCGUCAGCUCGUGCCGUGAGGUGUUUGGUUAAGUCCAGCAACGAGCGCAACCCUUAUCAUUAGUUGCCAACACUUAGGGUGGGAACUCUAAUGAGACUGCCUGGGUUAACCAGGAGGAAGGUGAGGAUGACGUCAAGUCCGCAUGGCCCUUAUGUCUGGGGCUACACACGUGCUACAAUGGUCGGUACAGAAGGCAGCGAAACCGCAAGGCGGAGCAAAUCCCGAAAGCCGAUCUCAGUUCAGAUUGUAGUCUGCAACUCGACUACAUGAAGACGGAAUUGCUAGUAAUGGUGGGUCAGCAACACCACCGUGAAUACGUUCCCGGGCCUUGUACACACCGAGACGAC
RNAcentral lists this ribosomal RNA (440 nucleotides) under uncultured bacterium. Its description in RNAcentral is "bacterial SSU rRNA". It matches the Rfam family "Bacterial small subunit ribosomal RNA", at positions 958 to 1398 of the family's 1533-position model. The record is from RNAcentral.